Molecule: long non-coding RNA, 244 nt
Organism: Lepidothrix coronata (blue-crowned manakin)
Lineage: Eukaryota; Metazoa; Chordata; Aves; Passeriformes; Pipridae
Exons: 3
Source: RefSeq, a predicted model, not a curated record
CUUCUGAUAUAAAAAGUAUUAAAAAAACCCACUUAAGCUGUUCUGUUUUACUGCUCCAGCAAUGACAGAAUGAGAACCAGAUUUAGUAUAUUGGCUGUAUAACUGGUUCAAUUUCUCUACUCUUUGAAAUCCCUGUCAGCCAGAAGAAAUAUUCAAUAGCUCAUGGGUGACCUUUCACUUCCCUCACUGGCAGCUGGUUACAAAGCAGGAUCUAGAGAAGAUGACCCAGGAGUCUAAAGGAUAA